GUGAACGUACCUUAUCAUUAUAACCAGGAAUGUUUUGUGUUUCUGAUGGGAAAUACCAAAAUCCUUCGGAGACUGUAGAGCUCAGAGCUCUACAGAACUCCGAAUCCAGCAGACACGGCUGAGGAAAACAGGAGUGUAACAGGAAGAGAAGAGGAGGAAAAGACUGUAAUUUAUCAUUCACUGUUCUAGUGCAGUAGCGAGACCAAAAGAGCACUGCAAGCUUUCACUCAAGCAAAAUUGCUUCUGAGAAAAAUGUGAAAGAAAAGCCUUCCAAGAUAAAGGCUCUCAAAGGAAGGGUACAAUCAAACACACGUUCACAGAACCGCUGAGACACUACGGACACUUUGGACACGCCGAUCAGCCUAUAACGCAUGUCUUUGGACUGGAGGAGGAAACCAGAGUACCCGGAGGAAACCCCUGAAGCACAGGGUGCUCAGUGAGAUUGUCUUGCCCGCGGAUCGCUGCAUCGAUUCACCCAGCACUGUUCUUCCGCUCCAUCUUGUUCUAACCUCGUCUCUAAAUGGUGGAAAACAUCUAAAACACAUCCUCUACAGCCCUGCUUUGAAGCGUUUCACACAAUCACACUCUGGCGUUCGUGUAUCCGUGUUUGAAGCGUCCCCAGGCUCCAGUGGACAGUUAGGACGACGUGGUUGGCACGGUGUGUUGAUGCAGACGGCUUUGUUUAACAACGUGCUUGACCGUGUUUUAUAAUGCUGUUCUCCCCGCUUGAUAAAAUGCUCAGGGCUGAGUCUCCCAAAAACAUCACCAGGUUAAGAUCAUUAACUGGGAGAGAGAGAGAGAGAGAGAGAGAGAGAGUGUUCAAUGUAAGGCACUCUCGACCGUUUAAGUGAGGCUUUUGGGAAACUGGGCUCUGCUCUGUUUAUUGACGCAUUCAGCUGGAGAUGUAGGACUCGUGUUAAUGUCUCACUAGAUAUGUCCACGGCCUCAGCCGAGAGGCUGACACAAUGCACGAAUGGAACCAGUUAAAGUCAGUUAACGCUUGGCCUUAAAAACAAUUUGAUGGUUUUCAGUAUCAGUCUUACAUGUCCUCUUAUGAGUCAGUGUUGACUCAUCCUGCUCUUCGACCCGUGACGAAGCCGGUCUUGACUGCGGCCCUGUUCUCAU
Molecule: long non-coding RNA, 1125 nt
Organism: Ictalurus punctatus (channel catfish)
Lineage: Eukaryota; Metazoa; Chordata; Actinopteri; Siluriformes; Ictaluridae
Source: Ensembl